CUGACACAACGGAGGCACCCUGGGGAGCGGCGGGGGAGAUUUGCAAGGACUUUCAUUUGAGUUACAGGACUCUGAAUCAAGAUUUUGACUGCCCCGACUGCAGCAUUGCCCACCCUGAAGGUCCAAAAAUCAAGAAGUUGGCUUAAUUAAAAAUGUUGGAUUCUUUCCAUCUGCUGUCUGGUUUCAGAACCUUUACGGAGCCACAUUUUCAAGCUUUCAUCGGCAGCUUUGAGGUGGAGAUUUGUUUGUUUGUUUCUCCACUAUGGAACUGGGGUUUUCAUGUAACGGUGUGAUCCUAGGAACCUGGGAUUUAAGGUAAAUGUGAAAUAUUGCAAGAGUUGGCAAUGCUUCCAGACCAGCAGCCCUGUGGCUUCCCAUUGGCCUACUGGUCAUGGUGACAUGGAUGCGUCAUCCUGCAUCCUUCCCGGUUGACUGUUACUAUGGCUACCGCCGGUUUGCCACGUAGAGGCUGUUUUGGAGGAGGCACUACUCGGAGCGGCCAGCUGGGUGGUGCUUGUCAUCAGUUAUUGCUCCAGCUGCUGGAGGGAGCCCUGUGCAGCGCUGUCCCCCACAGGCAGGAGUGUUGUCCCAGCUCCACCUGGUUGCCUGGUAGAAUCACACUCCAGGGAGUGAAAUUGUUUGGAGUCACUUGACCUUUAGAAGCACACAUCACCACAGUGGCUUGUGCAGCUAUUUCACCACAAUGCACGGAGGAUGUUGCAGCUUACUCCUUCCUCUUGGGACAAAGCAUGAGUGAGGCCCAUCAAACCACUCGCAACUCUGGUCAAUUUGAACCUCACUCACCUGCAGCACCAGCCGCAGACCCAGUGGAGCACAGAAGAGUCUGUUUGCAGAUGAUUCCUGGGGAGGGAAUGAAUUAUUAAUAAUGUCAAUAACAUCAUUAUCAUCUAUUUCCCAGGCGCCUUCCAUCCCAAACUGCUUUCAGGGAUACACAUGCAGCCACCUAUGGGAUA
Mauremys mutica (yellowpond turtle) is the source of this 974-nucleotide long non-coding RNA. RefSeq lists it as uncharacterized. NCBI's taxonomy places the organism in Eukaryota, Metazoa, Chordata, Testudines, Geoemydidae. The transcript has 3 exons. The record is from RefSeq and is a predicted model, not a curated record.